ACCUUCUACCCACUUUUUUCCACAUUUCUUCCACCUUUUAUCCCUUCUUUCACCUUUUACCCACUCUUUUCCACCUUUUACCUACUUUUUUACACAUUUCCUCCACCUUUUAUCCCCUUUUUCCACCUUUUAUCCACCUUUUAUCCACCUUUUAUUCCACUUUUUUCCACCCUUUGUUCACCUUCUAUCCACUUUUUCCCAACUUUUACCCACUUUUUAUCCACUUUUCCCACCUUAUAUCCAAUUUUUCCAAUUUUCCUAACUUUUAUCCACUUUUUUCCACCCUUUGUCCACUCUUUAUCCAGUUUUCCUACCCUUUAUCCACUUUUUUCCACCUUUUAUCCACUUUCCCCACCUUUCAACCACUUUUUUCCACCCUUUGUCAACGUUUUAUCCACUUUUCCCACCCUUUAUCCACGUUUUAUCCACUUUUUUCCAACCUUUAACCACCUUUUAUCUGCUUUUUCCACCCUUUAUCCACUUUUUUCCACCCUUUAUCCACUUUUUAUCCACUUUUUCCACCCUUUGUCCACUUUUUUCCACCUUUUGUCCACUUUUUCCAACCUGUUAUCCCCUUUUUAUCCACUUUUUCCACCCUUUGUCUGCUUUUCCCCACCUUUUAUCCACUUUUCCCACCCUUUAUCCACCUUUUAUCUGCUUUUCCGACUUUUUAUCCACUUUCUUCCACCCUUUAUCCACUUUUUUCUACCUUUUAUCCCCUUUUUAUCCACUUUCCCCACCCUCUAUCCACUUUCCCCAUCUUUCAACCACUUUUUUCCACCCUUUGUCCACUUUUUAUCCACUUUUCCCAUCCUUUAUCCACUUUUCCCACCCUUUAUCCACUUUUUUCCACCCUUUGUCCACCUUUUAUCCACUUUCCCCACCCUUUGUCCACCUUUUAUCCACUUUCCCCACCCUUUGUCCACCUUUUAUCCACUUUCCCCACCCUUUAUCCACUUUUUUCCACCCUUUAUCCACUUUUCCCACCCUUUAUCCACUUUUUUCCACCCUUUAUCCACUUUUCCCACCCUUUAUCCACUUUUUUCCACCUUUUACCCCCUUUUUAUCCACUUUUUCCAUCCUUUAUCCACCUUUUUCCACCCUUUAUCCACCUUUUUAUCCACUUUGUCCACCCUUUGUCCACUUUUGAUCCACCUUCCCCACCCUUCCUCCACUUCCCUUCCCUCUUCAUCCUUUUUAUUAUUACUACUUUCAUUUUUUUUUUAUUUUUUUUCCAACUCCCCCUCCCUCCUCCCUUUCCCNNNNNNNN
Molecule: long non-coding RNA, 1270 nt
Filed under: Calidris pugnax (ruff)
Lineage: Eukaryota; Metazoa; Chordata; Aves; Charadriiformes; Scolopacidae
Description: lncRNA (ENSCPUG00000002072.1)
Source: RNAcentral